This 301-nucleotide ribosomal RNA is filed under the name uncultured bacterium. RNAcentral's name for it is "partial 16S ribosomal RNA". It matches the Rfam family "Bacterial small subunit ribosomal RNA", at positions 509 to 809 of the family's 1533-position model. The record is from RNAcentral.
CAGUAGCCGCGGGAAUACGAAGGGGGCUAGCGUUGCUCGGAAUGACUGGGCGUAAAGGGCGCGUAGGCGGUUCGGAUAGUCAGAUGUGAAAUUCCUGGGCUUAACCUGGGGGCUGCAUUUGAUACUGUCGGGCUUGAGUAUGGAAGAGGGUCGUGGAAUUCCCAGUGUAGAGGUGAAAUUCGUAGAUAUUGGGAAGAACACCCGUGGCGAAGGCGGCGACCUGGUCCUUGACUGACGCUGAGGCGCGAAAGCGUGGGGAGCAAACAGGAUUAGAUACCCGAGUAGUCCCUGUCUCUUAUAA